AUCACUAGAUAAAGUAAAGCAUAAAAGUAUACAAGGUUGGGAGUAAUGUUCGGUUGGAACACCGAGGAGGUGGAGUUGCAUGGAUUAACUCUAGCACGACAUGUUGGAGAAGAAAAAAAAAUUUUAUGAGGGUAACGAAAUUUGACCCCCAUAAAUUCGACCCCAUACACUAAAACGCAGUAAGACUAAUAGAUAGGGUGGGAAACACCGAAGCUGAUAAAGUAGUGGAGUAAUGCCAGUCGUUAAAUGAAUAUAUUGUAACGGUGGAAUAAGUAAUCCAUAUCACUAUAUUGGUUCAAUGAAUUGUUGUGAGAGAGACUGAUGGAUAAAAAUAUAUACAUAUAAUUUUAUUUCCUUUUUUUUUUUUUCUUUUUUGGAGAUGGGAUUCCUUAGUUUAUGUUGAUAUAAAAAUAGAAAAAGACAAAUGUAAUAAGAUCUGCAAAAUUCACACAACUUUAUGUUUUUGUUCACAUGUUACAUUCAACUUUAUGUUUAUUCACAUGACUUGAUGAUUUUAUUUUGGCGGACGCAGAGUUUGCCAAAUUGAAGGAAAUAGAGUUGUGUCUGAUAUGGAUGCGAAAGGUAUGCGAGUGGCAUAAAACUG
Non-coding RNA from Schizosaccharomyces pombe (fission yeast), 604 nucleotides. The record is from the annotation of a GenBank genome assembly. NCBI's taxonomy places the organism in Eukaryota, Fungi, Ascomycota, Schizosaccharomycetes, Schizosaccharomycetales, Schizosaccharomycetaceae.